GUCUACGGCCAUACCACCCUGAAUGCGCCCGAUCUCGUCUGAUCUCGGAAGCUAAGCAGGGUCGGGCCUGGUUAGUACUUGGAUGGGAGGAAUACAAAUCAAAACU
RNAcentral lists this ribosomal RNA (106 nucleotides) under Neogale vison (American mink). Lineage: Eukaryota; Metazoa; Chordata; Mammalia; Carnivora; Mustelidae. The record is from RNAcentral.